CUACAAUUCUCAAAAGCUUCACACACUUUUGAUCAAGACAGUGUGAAGCAAAACCAAUUUAUGGUGGAAAUCAAAAGCUUCAUCAAUGGAGGACAACUACAAUUCUCAAAAGCUUCACACACUCUUGAUCAAGACAAUGUGAAUCAAAACCAAUUUAUGGUGCCAACAAGAGCUUCAUCAAUGGAAGGCAAUCACAAUUAUCAAAAGCUUCACACACU
RNAcentral lists this long non-coding RNA (218 nucleotides) under Malus domestica (apple). RNAcentral describes it as "long non-coding RNA (MDOM_LNC002742)". The record is from RNAcentral. Lineage: Eukaryota; Viridiplantae; Streptophyta; Magnoliopsida; Rosales; Rosaceae.